AAUCAACGCUGGCGGCGUGCCUCAGACAUGCAAGUCGAACGCGAAAGUCCCCUUCGGGGGACAAGUAGAGUGGCGCACGGGUGAGUAACACGUAGGUAAUCUACCUUCGGAUGGGGAAUAACGAUCGGAAACGGUUGCUAAUACCGCAUAAUGCAGCGGCACCUAAUGGUGACAGUUGUUAAAGCGGGGGAUCGAAAGACCUCGCGUCUGAAGAGGAGCCUGCGGCGGAUAGCUAGUUGGUAAGGUAACGGCUUACCAAGGCGACGAUCCGUAGCCGGCCUGAGAGGGCGGUCGGCCACACUGACACUGACAUACGGGUC
This 320-nucleotide ribosomal RNA is filed under the name uncultured bacterium. RNAcentral's name for it is "bacterial SSU rRNA". It matches the Rfam family "Bacterial small subunit ribosomal RNA", at positions 32 to 332 of the family's 1533-position model. The record is from RNAcentral.